RNAcentral lists this ribosomal RNA (1674 nucleotides) under human gut metagenome. RNAcentral's name for it is "bacterial LSU rRNA". It matches the Rfam family "Bacterial large subunit ribosomal RNA", at positions 1377 to 2925 of the family's 2925-position model. The record is from RNAcentral.
GGGUGAGUCGGGUCCUAAGGCGAGGCCGACAGGCGUAGUCGAAUGGAUGAACGGGUGGAUAUUCCCGUACCGACCAUGGACCGGCAAAACCGAGACGGUGAGUACUAACCUCCGCCUCGUGGUGGUUCCUUCCUUCGGGUUGGUAUCGCCGCGUGGUGUUGGGACCGUAGCCGUAGUAGGUCAGCGCAGGGGUGACACGGAAUGGGAGCCGGCCGCGGAGGUGGUUUUCCGUGGUCAAGCACGCAGCCAGUCAUGUAGGCAAAUCCGCAUGGCGCGCAUGGCGAGGUGUGAUGAUGGGAGCCGUUAUGGCUCGAUAUCCGGUUGUCCAGGCCGUCGAGAAAAGCCUCGGCGUGAGGGCCAUGGCCGCCCGUACCCCAAACCGACACUGGUGGUCAGGUAGAGAAUACCAAGGCGAUCGAGCGAAUCCUGGUCAAGGAACUCGGCAAAUCACUCCCGUGCCUUCGGUAUAAGGGAGACCCGCUGGGGUGAACCGGCUAGCCCGGGGAGCUUUGGUGGGUGGCACAGACCAGGGGGUAGCGACUGUUUACCAAAAACACAGGUGCAUGCGAAGGCGAAAGCCGCUGUAUAUGCACUGACGCCUGCCCGGUGCCGGAAGGUUAAGAGGAUCCGUCAAUCCCUUCGGGGACGAAGCGGUGAAUUCAAGCCCCGGUAAACGGCGGUGGUAACUAUAACCAUCCUAAGGUAGCGAAAUUCCUUGUCGGGUAAGUUCCGACCUGCACGAAUGGCGUAACGACUUCCCCACUGUCUCGACCAGGAGCUCGGCGAAAUUGCAGUACGAGUAAAGAUGCUCGUUAAGCGCAGAAGGACGAAAAGACCCCGGGACCUUUACUAUACCUUGGUAUUGGCGUUAGGCGCGGAUUGUGUAGCAUAGGCGGGAGGCUUCGAAGCGUGGGCGCCAGCUCAUGUGGAGCCGCAAGGUGAAAUACCGCUCUGUUCUCGUUUGACGUCUAACCUCGACAAGUCAUCCUUGUCAGGGACAGUGCCUGGCGGGUAGUUCAACUGGGGCGGUUGCCUCCCAAAGAGUAACGGAGGCGCUCAAAGGUCCGCUCAGCCCGGUUGGCAAUCGGGUGUCGAGUGUAAUCGCACAAGCGGGCUUGACUGCGAGGACGACGGUCCGAGCAGGGACGAAAGUCGGAGAUAGUGAUCCGGUGCCGGCGCACGGGCGCGGCAUCGCUCAACGGAUAAAAGGUACCCCGGGGAUAACAGGCUGAUCAUUCCCAAGAGUCCAUAUCGACGGGAUGGUUUGGCACCUCGAUGUCGGCUCGUCGCAUCCUGGGGCUGGAGCAGGUCCCAAGGGUUCGGCUGUUCGCCGAUUAAAGCGGCACGCGAGCUGGGUUCAGAACGUCGUGAGACAGUUUGGUCUCUAUCCUCUGCGCUCGUUGGAAUCCUGAGGAGGCCUGCCCAUAGUACGAGAGGACCUGGGUGGACGAACCUCUGGUAUGCCGGUUGUCGCGCCAGCGGCACGGCCGGUUGGCUACGUUCGGGAGGGAUAACCGCUGAAAGCAUCUAAGCGGGAAGCCUGCUCCAAGAUUAGGAUUCCAUGGAUCUUCGAGAUCCUGUAGCCCGCAUGUUGAACACGUGUUUGAUAGGCCGGAGGUGGAAGCCCCGUGAGGGGUGGAGCCGACCGGUACUAACGGGCGACGGCGACAUAAC